UUCUCCCGAGAAGUGAUGAAGCUUGCUUCAGAAUGACUCAUUUGAAUCACUUAGUGGCGGACGGGUGAGUAACGCGUGGGUAACCUGCCCUAUACUGGGGGAUAGCAGUUGGAAACGACUGAUAAUACCGCAUAAGCACACAGCAUCGCAUGUUGCAGUGUGAAAAACUCCGGUGGUAUAGGAUGGACCCGCGUCUGAUUAGCUAGUUGGUGAGGUAACGGCCCACCAAGGCGACGAUCAGUAGCCGGCCUGAGAGGGUGUACGGCCACAUUGGGACUGAGACACGGCCCAAACUCCUACGGGAGGCAGCAGUGGGGAAUAUUGGACAAUGGGGGCAACCCUGAUCCAGCGACGCCGCGUGAGCGAAGAAGUAUUUCGGUAUGUAAAGCUCUAUCAGCAGGGAAGAUAAUGACGGUACCUGACUAAGAAGCACCGGCUAAAUACGUGCCAGCAGCCGCGGUAAUACGUAUGGUGCAAGCGUUAUCCGGAUUUACUGGGUGUAAAGGGUGCGUAGGUGGCAUGGUAAGUCAGAUGUGAAAACUGUGGGCUCAACCCAAAGACUGCAUUUGAAACUGCCGAGCUAGAGUACAGGAGAGGAAAGUGGAAUUCCUAGUGUAGCGGUGAAAUGCGUAGAUAUUAGGAGGAACACCAGUGGCGAAGGCGGCUUUCUGGACUGUUACUGACACUGAGGCACGAAAGCGUGGGGAGCAA
RNAcentral lists this ribosomal RNA (711 nucleotides) under uncultured bacterium. RNAcentral describes it as "bacterial SSU rRNA". It matches the Rfam family "Bacterial small subunit ribosomal RNA", at positions 75 to 771 of the family's 1533-position model. The record is from RNAcentral.